This 304-nucleotide unclassified non-coding RNA is filed under the name uncultured fungus. RNAcentral's name for it is "partial contains small subunit ribosomal RNA, internal transcribed spacer 1, and 5.8S ribosomal RNA". The stretch from base 1 to 73 matches the Rfam family "Eukaryotic small subunit ribosomal RNA", at positions 1759 to 1831 of the family's 1831-position model. Lineage: Eukaryota; Fungi. The record is from RNAcentral.
GCAAACUUGGUCAUUUAGAGGAAGUAAAAGUCGUAACAAGGUUUCCGUAGGUGAACCUGCGGAAGGAUCAUUACCGAGUGGAUGGCCCCUCAUGGGGCCCAUGUCCCUCCCUCCUUGUCUUCUGCUACCACGUUGCUUUGGCGGGCCGGCCGCAUUGUGGCCGCCUGGGGGCAUCCCCCGGGUCCGCGUCCGCCAGAGGCCCUUUUAACGCAAGCUAUGUGAACAGGUCUGAAUGAGAGCUUAUGAUGAGCACAAAACUUUCAACAAUGGAUCUCUUGGUUCCGGCAUCGAUGAAGAACGCAGC